Non-coding RNA from Streptomyces zinciresistens K42, 75 nucleotides. It matches the Rfam family "ASpks TB sRNA". The record is from Rfam. Lineage: Bacteria; Bacillati; Actinomycetota; Actinomycetes; Kitasatosporales; Streptomycetaceae.
CUUGAGGGAGCCCAGCCACACCGGCUGCCCCUGCGGGCGGCUCUCGCCGUAGGUGGCGAUCAGCGCCUGCGCCUC